RNAcentral lists this ribosomal RNA (422 nucleotides) under uncultured bacterium. Its description in RNAcentral is "bacterial SSU rRNA". It matches the Rfam family "Bacterial small subunit ribosomal RNA", at positions 29 to 490 of the family's 1533-position model. The record is from RNAcentral.
AACGAACGCUGGCGGCAUGCCUAACACAUGCAAGUCGAACGAGACCUUCGGGUCUAGUGGCGCACGGGUGCGUAACGCGUGGGAAUCUGCCCUUGGGUUCGGAAUAACAGUUAGAAAUGACUGCUAAUACCGGAUAAUGUCUUCGGACCAAAGAUUUAUCGCCCAGGGAUGAGCCCGCGUAGGAUUAGCUAGUUGGUGAGGUAAAGGCUCACCAAGGCGACGAUCCUUAGCUGGUCUGAGAGGAUGAUCAGCCACACUGGGACUGAGACACGGCCCAGACUCCUACGGGAGGCAGCAGUGGGGAAUAUUGGACAAUGGCGAAAGCCUGAUCCAGCAAUGCCGCGUGAGUGAUGAAGGGCCCUUAGGGUUGGUAAAGACUCUUUUACCCGGGUACUGAUAAUAGACAGUACCGGGAGAAUAAG